GCGAAGUCGCGAGGCUAAGCUAAUCUCUUAAAGCUUCUCUCAGUUCGGAUUGCAGGCUGCAACUCGCCUGCAUGAAGCCGGAAUCGCUAGUAAUCGCGGAUCAGCACGCCGCGGUGAAUACGUUCCCGGGCCUUGUACACACCGCCCGUCACACCACGAGAGUUUGUAACACCCGAAGUCGGUGAGGUAACCUUUUGGAGCCAGCCGCCUAAGGUGGGAUAGAUGAUUGGGGUGAAGUCGUAACAAGGUAGCCGUAUCGGAAGGUGCGGCUGGAUCACCUCCUUUCUAAGGAA
This 293-nucleotide ribosomal RNA is filed under the name Enterococcus faecium. RNAcentral describes it as "partial 16S ribosomal RNA". It matches the Rfam family "Bacterial small subunit ribosomal RNA", at positions 1249 to 1533 of the family's 1533-position model. Lineage: Bacteria; Bacillati; Bacillota; Bacilli; Lactobacillales; Enterococcaceae. The record is from RNAcentral.